This 431-nucleotide ribosomal RNA is filed under the name uncultured bacterium. RNAcentral describes it as "partial 16S ribosomal RNA". It matches the Rfam family "Bacterial small subunit ribosomal RNA", at positions 28 to 507 of the family's 1533-position model. The record is from RNAcentral.
GACGAACGCUGGCGGCAGGCUUAACACAUGCAAGUCGAACGCCCCGCAAGGGGAGUGGCAGACGGGUGAGUAACGCGUGGGAACAUACCCUUUUCUACGGAAUAGCUCUGGGAAACUGGAAUUAAUACCGUAUACGCCCUACGGGGGAAAGAUUUAUCGGGGAAGGAUUGGCCCGCGUUGGAUUAGCUAGUUGGUGGGGUAAAGGCCUACCAAGGCGACGAUCCAUAGCUGGUCUGAGAGGAUGAUCAGCCACAUUGGGACUGAGACACGGCCCAAACUCCUACGGGAGGCAGCAGUGGGGAAUAUUGGACAAUGGGCGCAAGCCUGAUCCAGCCAUGCCGCGUGAGUGAUGAAGGCCUUAGGGUUGUAAAGCUCUUUCACCGAUGAAGAUAAUGACGGUAGUCGGAGAAGAAGCCCCGGCUAACUUCGUG